CGCAUCCUUGAUCCAGGGGAGCGACCGGCUCUAUGAUCGUUUAGUGAGACCGUGCUGCUGACACCCGUAUGGAAAUUACCCGUGCCCGGCGCCCAAGGGCGUCGAGCACAAUUUUUGGACGU
Non-coding RNA from Cinara cedri, 122 nucleotides. The record is from the annotation of a GenBank genome assembly. Lineage: Eukaryota; Metazoa; Arthropoda; Insecta; Hemiptera; Aphididae.